GCCAGAUGUGACGGCGCGUGCCUGUAGUCCCAGCUACUCGGGAGGCUGAGGCUGGAGGAUCGCUUGAGUCCAGGAGUUCUAGGCUGCACUGCGCUAUGCCAAUCGGGUGUCUGUACUAAGUUCGGCAUCGAUAUGGUGACCUCCCAGGAGCAGGGGACCACCAGGUUGCCUAAGGAGGGGUGAACCAGCCCAGGUCGGAAACGGAGCAGGUCAAAACUCCCGUGCUGAUCAGAAUACGCUAGCAGCUGCUCCCCAGUUGUGCCCAUUCCUAAAUUGCUGGAGAGGAAAUGUAUCAGCCA
Rhinopithecus bieti (black snub-nosed monkey) is the source of this 299-nucleotide unclassified non-coding RNA. It matches the Rfam family "Metazoan signal recognition particle RNA". Rfam says of the family: The signal recognition particle (SRP) is a universally conserved ribonucleoprotein. It is involved in the co-translational targeting of proteins to membranes. Lineage: Eukaryota; Metazoa; Chordata; Mammalia; Primates; Cercopithecidae. The record is from Ensembl.